Sus scrofa (pig) is the source of this 3469-nucleotide non-coding RNA. NCBI's taxonomy places the organism in Eukaryota, Metazoa, Chordata, Mammalia, Artiodactyla, Suidae. The record is from RefSeq and is a predicted model, not a curated record.
AUAAAGCUCUGAUAUAAGAUUCUGAUUAUGGUGAGUUAGCAGCAGAGUUAAGACUAGAACAUGAGUACUAAGAUUCCCAAUUUAGUGCUGUUUUGGCUGUGACUUAGGUGUCCAAGCCGAAGACUCAUGUAAGGAUGCUAUUUGAAUUAUACCUUUAGAUUUUCCUGCAGCCCUCUUAGUACAGAAGCAAGAUAUUCCUCCACUAACCAUCUCAAGUAUAAAAAAGUAUUAUUUCCUACCUAUAUGUUCAUAUAUAUCUUGGUUUUUAUUCUAAAGAAUUUUUCUUCACCCUAAUUUGCCUCUCACACAAUUGAUAUUUUAUAGGAAAUUGAAAAUCUUUCAUAUUCAUAUAUUAUAACUUUCAGUGAACACAAUGAACUAUUCCUUUGUAUCAAUACCCUUUGGAGAACAUUAGUCAUCCUGUCCUUAAACUUUCAGUAGUUUCAUUUUUCUUAGGCUUAAUCUCUAUAACUUGCAGAAUUCCAAGAGUUUAAGAAGAGCACCACAAGACAGUAAUCUCCUUAAACACAGGAACUUCUCUUUAAUUUCUGACAUGCUGGAAUAAUAUCUGGAACAGAGUUUUAUUACCCACCCUCCACAGUCCAUCACCAGCAAGUGUCCUUCCACCAGGUGUUGCUUGUGCCAAUAGAAUGAAACUGAGUUUGGUUCAGAAGCAAAGGAAAUCUUUACUCUUGGGUGAGUCAAUGGAAAGGCUGGAGCUCUUACUUUAGAGCACAUGUGUUCCUCAACAGGCCGUGGGUGGGGCUACUUUAUAGGGAUCUUGUCAGAGUGGGAGGGGCCAGAGUUCUUAAAGCUGGUGCAGCUGUGCUGCUUAAGCUCCAGAUCUCAGUGCCAGGAGUCUCUGUACAAGGCCCACCACCACCAUCUUGAACUGAGUUUUGUGAGCAGCGUUUCUGCACAUGGUCUGGAGCUGGGGUGUCAGGAGCUGCUGUUUCCUGCAAGGAACUCUCGUCUGAAGGGCCAGGUAUAAGGCUCUGUCUGCAGCCACCUAUGAGCAAGUGAAACUAGACGAAGCACAAAGGAAAAAAAGCCCUGGUUUUUAUUUAUGAGAGAACUACAAAAUGACUAGCCCAAGUACACACUGUUAACUAAUGAUGGAACUGGGACUUCAGAAAAAGGUGUUCUUCAGAGAAUCUGCUCUCCAACCCAGGGAAAGUGCAGGAGUAUUUGAGUUAAACUCUCAUCCACUUGACAGCUUCCCAGCUUCCAGUCAAAUCCACUAUGCAGAGACUGGCUCUGCCUUGGAUCUCUGCUACAUGAUUGUUUUGAAUAUAGGGGGAAUCGAGUAGAGGAAGUCAAAGAAGAUGCUAAAUCCUCUCAUUAUUUUUUGAUUGAUAUGUGACUCCAGAAAGUGUGAAAACAUAAUGUAGUAUAAAAAAAAAAAAACAAAAACCCAGCUCUGUCCUAUACAUAAAAAAAAUACCUGAACACUUAGUUAUCUCAAAAAGAGUAGAAGGAUCAUAGUUUCAUGGGAAAAUAAGUUCUGCUAAGCUAAUUUAAUCAUCUCUGUGAUAUAGUGCUGGGUAUGACAGAUAAAGAAAAGCUUUAUACAUAGUAAGUACAAGGAUACAUGGUUAAAUCAUGAUUCUCUUUCUUAAUUUACCAUUGAAAAAACACAAAACUAGUUAGAUAAUCAAUGAAAGGAUCAAUAAAAAUAGUGCAAAUGUCAUUAAGGAAAACAAAUUCAAAUAAUGAAGAAUAUUAAAUCUCCAAACUGACUAUAAUAUACUAUUAGUGUAUACUUUGAUUAAAGUUGGUGUUGUUGACAGAGUAGGAGUAAAACAAAGUUAUAUUCACAUUUACACUUUUCUUAAGUUCACUGUAUGGCUUUUCAAUUUUUCACACUUCUGUACUUUCUGCUUACUUAAAUGUUGAAUAAAUGCUAAAUGGAAAUUUCCUUUAUCUUGUAAAUCUUCCUUGAAUAAUGGGAAUAAUUGUAAAAAGCUAAAGACAGAUUUUCUCAGAUAGAACCCUUAAGAACUUUUAGCAUACACAUAAACAAUUUUAGAUUAAUUAUAGGUUUCAGCAUUUAAAAAUAUUUAAAAUUGGUAAUUAUAUCAACUCCAUGACAAAGUUGAUGACCUUUCACCAAUAUAUACCUAUUAAGUUUGAUAAUAGUUAGCUUGAGCCAUAUAUUAGAUUCCUCAUCCAGUCAGUUUUUAUCCUGUAUUUUUAACUAAAAUAGAAAAUAUUAUCUCAUAAUACAGGUAUUAUGAGGCUGUAAUUUUUGGAUCUUUCUGGAUUUUUAAUUCAAAUUUCCUUCUAACUCAAUGAAGCUUUUCCAUUCAUAAGUCAGACCCAUUAAUUCCUGGUCCAUUCUUUGUUUACUUUCAACUCUGGAACAUCUGUUAUGUUGUUGUACUUGGAUGUUGUUUAUAAAUGUGCUCAAAAUUUUUUUUAUUCUGUUUCUUUCUCCAAUCAGUGAAAAAAAAUCAAAUGCUAAGAAAGUGAAACACUCACUGAUCUCAUAGAAGAUCUCCUGUUUUUUUUUUGUCUUCAAUAAAAUUUGUUAUAUUUUGGUGCUAGAUUGAAGGCUUCAGACUGUAUCUGAUAUUGAAUGUAUCACUGAGAAGUGCCAUUAAAGCAAGCCAUAUAUUACGUAAUCAUUUAAAUGGUUUUUCCAGGCGUUAUUGCAAUCGUGAAGUGUUUUUCAUCUCAUAUAUUAUUUUGAAUUUGGUUAAUACAUUUUCCCUUGACUACAAGUAUACUUCAACGUGGAAAGUUAGUUGUAUAUUCAUUGCCAAUUCGUCAUACGACAUGCAGAAAGACAUAUAUGCUCAGUAAAUAAAAUGUGAUUGCAAUGAAAAUAUUCAUAGGUUUUUUUUUUUUUUCUUUGCAAAUGUGACAAUGUGCUGGAUUGGCUUUCAGGUAGCAUUUUUUUUUAAUUGUUGAGUGGGGCUUUUCCUUGUUAGAUGCAAAAAUGCUGCUCUGCAGAACAUAUUUUAUGAGUGCACAUUAUAAAGUAAUGAUAUUAUUUCCUGGAGCACAAUUUUUCAGUGAUAAACUAUACAAAAAGACAUUAGGCAGUUCUCCCAUAUACUGCACAUAGAAAAAACUUAUUCCCAUGUUUUGCACAUGCACAUAUUACCAAAAUGAAAUAUGCACAUAGUAUUAUAAUAAUUACUUUUCCACGUUAUGUGCCAUGGAUAUGUAUGUACAAAUUUUAGGUUGCACCUUAAGUUGUAAGCACUCUCUUCUCUGAGCAAAGGGGAGUGUUAGAGCACACUGGUGGACUUAGAGAUGGAAUGGUGUGUUGAGAUGUGUGGAGGCAUCCUUAUGACUGAGAAAUAAACUUUGAUCUUAUUAAUCAAUUUUAUUUAUGUCUCUUACAAUAGCUUAGCUGUCCUCUAAUUAAUAUAAACAACAAAUAUGACUGAAAAAAUUUAUAUCAAUAGCAAUGUAUCCAAGUGGAUAUAUAUCCAUAAUCAUUAAGAGAAAACUGAAUAUA